UUACGGGAGGCAGCAGUGAGGAAUAUUGGUCAAUGGGCGUAAGCCUGAACCAGCCAUCCCGCGUGCAGGAAGAAGGCGCUAUGCGUUGUAAACUGCUUUUCCAGGGAAAGAAAACCCCCGACGUGUCGGGGCUUGCCGGUACCCUGGGAAUAAGCAUCGGCUAACUCCGUGCCAGCAGCCGCGGUAAUACGGAGGAUGCGAGCGUUAUCCGGAUUUAUUGGGUUUAAAGGGUGCGUAGGCGGGUUAAUAAGUCAGUGGUGAAAACCUUCAGCUUAACUGGAGACUUGCCAUUGAUACUGUUAGUCUUGAGUACGGUCAAGGUAGGCGGAAUGUGUAAUGUAGCGGUGAAAUGCUUAGAUAUUACACAGAACACCGAUUGCGAAGGCAGCUUACUGGACCAAUACUGACGCUGAUGCACGAAAGCGUGGGGAGCGAACAGGAUUAGAUACCCCGGUAGC
This 458-nucleotide ribosomal RNA is filed under the name uncultured bacterium. RNAcentral's name for it is "bacterial SSU rRNA". It matches the Rfam family "Bacterial small subunit ribosomal RNA", at positions 339 to 794 of the family's 1533-position model. The record is from RNAcentral.